This is an RNA transcript of Sorghum bicolor (sorghum), 4716 nucleotides long. RefSeq lists it as uncharacterized. The record is from RefSeq and is a predicted model, not a curated record. The transcript has 6 exons. Lineage: Eukaryota; Viridiplantae; Streptophyta; Magnoliopsida; Poales; Poaceae.
UUGUUGACGAGUUGGGAUGUCGACGAAUUUGUUGCAGAGCUGUUUGCUUCUUGCCGUUCGGCCUCAGUCUUUUGCAUUGGUAGAGAUUGUCUGAAGGACCUUUAGUAUAUAUAAAUAGAUAAGGUCUUUCCCUAAUUACGUACAGAAAGGUAAAGGAUUGGGUUUCUGAUCGGAGUUUUUUUCUUUUUUUUUUAUCUUGAUCUCGAUUCAAACUCGGUAUCCAAAUCAGGGAACUUUGGCCGCGCUGACAUCGAUGGAUGGAACCCAUAGCUGAACUCGGUGCGUAGAUUGACUUUUGGGCACGGCGGGUAAGUCCGUGUGGGACUCAUUGUGUUGUGAGCUGAUCUUCUCGGAGACGGAGUGAGGCAAGGUGAACUUUGAGCGGCGCGUGUAUGCAGCGUGCGGCAGUUCUACUCAGACACGGAGGAAGGCGAACUGUGGCGUGGAGCGUGUUUGUACGAUGGCGCUGCGUGCGUGCGUGCGUGCGUGAGGUUGAAGAAGGUGCCGGUUUUGGGCCGUGUUGUAAAUAAGGCCCAUUCGUAACUCGUCCUCAGUGCCUUUUUUUUGUCCCAGUAGGGUUAGGUUCGCAGGGAAGCACUCACUCGUUUGUUCGGCGGCGGCGGCACUCCAGGCCUUGGUCGCUCACUCCUCAACUCCCGUCCCUAGCCCCUAUGCCUGUGGUGAUCAAGUUGGGGCUGGUGGCCCUGGUCCCCUCGCCGCAUCUGCUCGCCCCUCCCUGCAUCCUAUCGCGGCGCGGCGGAUCCGAUGCGAUGUCCCAAGGAAGGACGGCCAAGUUGAGCUCUCGCGUUCGGUUGUGAAGGAGACAUAUCGUCGCUGGUAGGAUGGAGGGGAGCCUCCUUGCGCGACUCCAUCUGGGCGCCUCGCCGUAGGUGGCGUCCCUGAGGACGACGAAGGCGUUCUCGCCGUCCGCUGAGGCAGCCGGAGCCAGAUCCUCCUGUUGCCGUUGCAUCGUUUGAGGAGCAGAUGAUAUCUGUCAGCCAACAAGAGAGCUACUAUUUGAAGAGUCACACUGGCACAGAAGUUCAUUCCAGUAUACAUGGGAAGUGCAUUCAGAAAUAAGCGUCCCGAAACGUUGGCAUUACUUGACCAUCAACCGUUCUAAGCUCUUCAUAGCUCCUUGCGCCCGGAACAUGGUUUAGGAGUACCCUAAGAUAGUACCGUUCUCCUUCAGCUGGAUGUGCUGCAACCAACCUGCCAAUCUGGCUGAUAUUGGUGCAUCUUUGUUUUUGGUAGUUGGACACAUUGAAGAGGGAAUAUCUGUCCAAGAAGUAUGAUUGUUUGUGGCCCAUCUUUAUUUUUGGUGGAAGUGGGAAUAUCUGUCAAAGAACCUGUCCAAGAAGCAUGGUUGUUUGUGGUUCAUCUUUGUUUUUGGUGGCUGGACACAUCGAAGCGUGAAUAUCUGUAAAAGAACCAUGGUUAGUUUUACAUGAGCUUGUAAUUUGUCUUGAGGCGUCAAAAGUAUCAUAUAAUUAUAGUGUUACCAUUAAUCAUGGCUUGUAAAUGUGGACGCCCCCUGUCGUCAUCUCCAUUUAAUGUUUGUCUUUCUCCCGGCGUCACAUGCUUCCUUUGAUUUAAAUCAAUGGUUGAUGUUCUAACUUCCAUGUCUGGUUGUGUAUAUGCAGGGUUCUCUAAGGCGAUUGAAUAUUUGGUUUGUGCUCUACGCUUGAACUUUUUGUUUUCUGUAAUUUUCUUAAUUCUAGCUGCCUUUUGUUCUGGUUGCAUAUUUGCAUACUCUUCACGGUUCCUUUUGAUUCUUUCUAUCUUUUUUUCAUUGCUCAUAUGUGCAUAUCGAUCUCUCUCUCUUUUCCUUUUCUUUUCAUUGGCAUCCAUUAUUGAAUCUUCUAACCCUAAUGGAUUGUUUUCCUCAUUGUUUUUUGAUUUGUUUGAAUCUAUAAAGCAAAAGAAUGAAUAUUAAAUAUAGUGUGAUACUUUGCAUUAAUGUAAUAGAGAAAAGAAAAAACAAUAUUUAAUUAAGUUUACCUAUUAUGUUUCCAAGUUUCUCUGUGCCAUUUGCAGCAUGUACAUCUUGACAACUAUCAAUCCUGCCAUCUUCAUGAUGUAUAAUAUUGCCUACUAUUAGGCGGGCUUGCCCUGUGAUGGUAGAUCCAGGUGCGGGUCCUUUGAGAGACUCUUUAUUUUUUUGCUUUUCAUGAUAGGCUUCACGAAGCCUUUUAAGCAUUUCCUGCUUUUUUUCAUUUGUCAUCUUAGCAUACCGCUCUCUCUCUCUUUUCCUUUUUUUUUGCUUUGCAUCCAUUAAUGUAUCUUCUACCUGAUUGUUUUUUGUAAUGUAUGGAUCUGUAGAUCAAAAAGAGUGUAUAAUAAGAACAAUAUGAUAUUUUCCAUGAAUACAAUAGAGAAAAACAUUAAAGCAAUAUAUUCAAGUAAAUUUACCUUGUUGCAAUUUUGUUUUUAGGUUUUCAGUUGCCUCUAUGUCACCUUCAUUGCCGACAUCUUGACCUCCAGUGUGUACAUCUUGAUGGAAGGGGACGUGGCAGCGACGCUGGCUUACUGGCCUGCGCGUGGCAGUGAUAAAGACGCUAGCUCUCUGGCCGGCUGGCCUGCCUGGCCGGGGACGUGGCGGCGAGGCUGGCUCGCUAGCUGGUGCUGGCUUAUCUCGCAGGGAACGUGGCGGCGAGACUGGCUCGCCGCGACGCUGGCUCGCUGGCUGGCGCUGGGACGUGGCGGCGAGGCUGGCUCUCUAGCCGGCGCUGGCCUGUCUCGCAGGGAACGUGGCGGCGAGACUGGCUCGCUAGCCGGCGCUGGCCCUAGCUCGCGUCGCAAGAGGCGGACUCGCAGCGUCGCAAGAGGUUUUUUUAUGUUUUUUUUACUUUGAUCUCUCUAGGGCUGUUUAUAUAAAAUAUUUGUAGACCAAUUUGGAUUUGGACAUCUAUAUAUUAUAUUAUAUAGCAGAUUGGCAGUCCUAUUUGGGUUUGGACAUCUAUAUUAUAGCUAUUGUAAAAUGUAACGUAACCUAUACGGAUGUAACGUAACCUAUACGUGUAGACCAAUUUGGAUUAGCAGAUUGGCAGUCCUAUUUGGAUUUGGAAAAUGAAACGUAACCUAUACGGAUGUAACGUAACAUAUACGGACUGCAGACUGGAGAUUGUGGCUAUUUAACCUAUACGGAUGUAACGUAAGGACUGCAGACUGGAGAUUGUGGCUAUUACGUGGAGUACAGACUGGAGAUUGUGGCUAUUAUGGACUGUAGAUUGGCAGAAAAAAAAAGGGCAGACUGAAAUUUUGGCUCUUUAUUAGUAGGUAUAGAUAUGUUGUACAACUCCCUGACGUGUUUUUAUUUUUUUGCUAUUCAGGAGCCUAGAGUCUUUGUCUUCAAGUUGUACCUACAUCCAGCAUGUAUUUUCACUAGCUACUAUCAACUGAUGAAAAACAUUUAUGAUAAUUUGAAGAAAGAUGAAGAACUAGUUAAUGGAAAACUAGUCACACCAAAGUCUGGGGUCUUCUUAGUUCAGUUAGUGCCAGAGAAGGAAGAUGAAUUGCCACUCACUUUUCCUUUUGGAUGUAGUGAUUUGUACAUGGAGGGCUACCAUUACAACAGUAAGUAUUUUUCUUUGUUUUCAACAAUUUACUUUACAUUCUCGUUGAAUUCACUAGAAUGAAAUGCACCAUAGGUCCCUAAACUUUUCUCACAUUCUUGUCUAGGUCCAUUAAUUUUCAAAGUAAAAUACACCAUAGGUUGUUCAACUUUUGAAGUGGAUCAUUCUAAGUUUAUUUUAGGUCUAAGCAUCAUGCAUUUGAAUUCACUUGAAAAGUUAAAGGACCCAAAUAAUCACUUUAAGAGUUCAUAGACCCAGAUGAGAAUGAGGCAAAAGUUUAAUGACCAAUAUUGCAUUUAUCUCAAUUCACUGUUUUGGUUAUAGGAGUAUGGUAUAGGUUUUCUAAUCAUGAGGCUGAUCUUCCUUCCAAGAAUCAAUUUGAUUACACUUAGAGAGUAAAGCUGGUUCUUACCUCAAGCUAUGCAUAUCUUUGUGGUUAUAACAUUAAGAUUGGUCAUAUAGCAUUUAAGAGAUGCUAUUAUGUGCUACGUAAAACCAAUGUUCUCCAUUCAUCUAAGGAAGGGCUACAAGAGCUCAGAUCGGGACCUUUGGCAACACCUACAGUUGGAAUCUCAGAAGCUUUGCGCUUCAAUGUUCAACAGAGAUUGGUAAAGCAUGCACUCUAUUCUGGUAAGAAAAUCUAUAUCACUGAAAAAAUCUUCAAUUAUUUCAAUGUGUGGGGGACUUUGUCUAUUGCAAUGUAUACUGAAGUGGUCCCAAAAGAGUGUCUUCUUAGCUUGACACAGAUUAGCAAUAAAUUAUGGGUGAUAAAGCGCCACCUUUAAUUUGCAAGAAGGUAAUUAGUCCUCCUCUCUCUUUGUGUCGUCUUUGUUUUGCUUAAUAUUAGCACUUAUAUGUCUUUAUAAUUAAAUGCAUAAUUUCCCUUUCAGUCAUAGAAAAUGGAAAAGAAAAUGAAAAACUAGUCGCAUCCUUAAUCGAAUGGCAGAAAAAAGCCGAGAAGAGAAUUGUCGAAGCUGUUUGCAAUGUUGGUGAUACAAGUAACACAAUGGAGUAUGUUGUUUUAUUUUCAGAUUUAGUUACACCCACGGCCACGGCGACACGGCGUUGUAGCUCUAUGAACUGAUCUACUCUCCACCCUGUGUUUUCCCGCCCUGGUAUAUCAAGAGUUUAUUUUGUUUUA